This 516-nucleotide ribosomal RNA is filed under the name uncultured bacterium. Its description in RNAcentral is "bacterial SSU rRNA". It matches the Rfam family "Bacterial small subunit ribosomal RNA", at positions 239 to 765 of the family's 1533-position model. The record is from RNAcentral.
UAUCAGCUUGUUGGUGAGGUAGUGGCUCACCAAGGCGACGACGGGUAGCCGGCCUGAGAGGGCGACCGGCCACACUGGGACUGAGACACGGCCCAGACUCCUACGGGAGGCAGCAGUGGGGAAUAUUGCACAAUGGGCGAAAGCCUGAUGCAGCGACGCCGCGUGAGGGAUGAAGGCCUUCGGGGUUGUAAACCUCUUUCAGCAGGGAAGAAGCGAAAGUGACGGUACCUGCAGAAGAAGCACCGGCUAACUACGUGCCAGCAGCCGCGGUAAUACGUAGGGUGCGAGCGUUGUCCGGAAUUAUUGGGCGUAAAGAGCUUGUAGGCGGUUUGUCGCGUCUGCUGUGAAAAUCCGGGGCUCAACCCCGGACUUGCAGUGGGUACGGGCAGACUAGAGUGUGGUAGGGGAGACUGGAAUUCCUGGUGUAGCGGUGAAAUGCGCAGAUAUCAGGAGGAACACCAAUGGCGAAGGCAGGUCUCUGGGGCCACCACUGACGCUGAGAAGCGAAAGCGUGGG